Molecule: ribosomal RNA, 1192 nt
Filed under: uncultured Chloroflexota bacterium
Lineage: Bacteria; Bacillati; Chloroflexota
Description: bacterial SSU rRNA
Rfam family: Bacterial small subunit ribosomal RNA
Source: RNAcentral
GAGUUUGAUCAUGGCUCAGGAUAAACGCUGGCGGCGUGCCUAAUGCAUGCAAGUCGAACGGAUUUAGUAGCAAUACUAGGUUAGUGGCAAACGGGUGAGUAACACGUGGGAACCUGCCCUUGUGUGGGGGACAACUCUCUGAAAGGAGAGCUAAUACCGCAUACGCUUAUCGAGAGAUAAGGAAAGCCUCGCAAGAGGCGCAGAAGGAGGGGCCUGCGGCUGAUUAGCUAGUUGGUGGGGUAAAGGCUCACCAAGGCGAUGAUCAGUAGCUGGUCUGAGAGGACAGACAGCCACACUGGGACUGGGAGACGGCCCAGACUCCUACGGGAGGCAGCAGCAAGGAAUUUUCGGCAAUGGGGGGAACCCCUGACCGAGCAACGCCGCGUGGAGGACGAAGACUUUCGGGUUGUAAACUCCUUUUAGGGGGGAAGACAGGCAAGAGGACGGUACCCCCUGAAUAAGCCUCGGCUAACUACGUGCCAGCAGCCGCGGUAAUACGUAGGAGGCGAGCGUUGUCCGGAAUUACUGGGCGUAAAGGGCGAGUAGGCGGGACGUUAAGUAUGCUGUGAAAGACUUCGGCUUAACCGGAGCAAGUCGGCGUAAACUGGCGACCUAGAGACUGUGAGAGGAUAGCAGAAUUCUCGGUGUAGUGGUGAAAUGCGUAGAUAUCGGGAGGAAUACCAGUGGCGAAGGCGGCUAUCUGGCGCAGGACUGACGCUGAGGCGCGAAGGCUAGGGUAGCAAACAGGAUUAGAUACCCUGGUAGUCCUAGCAGUAAACGAUGGCUACUAGGUGUGCGGGGAGCAAGACCCCCUGCGUGCCGGAGUAAACACGAUAAGUAGCCCGCCUGGGGAGUACGGUCGCAAGAUUAAAACUCAAAGGAAUUGACGGGGACCCGCACAAGCAGCGGAGCGUGUGGUUUAAUUCGACGCAACGCGAAGAACCUUACCAGGGCUUGACAUCCUCCGUUCAGUCUAUGAAAGUAGAUGGUCGCAAGACGAGGAGGACAGGUGCUGCAUGGCUGUCGUCAGCUCGUGUCGUGAGAUGUUGGGUUAAGUCCCGCAACGAGCGCAACCCUUAUCCUGAGUUGAAGAUCUGAGGAGACUGCCGGUAGGAAACCGGAGGAAGGUGGGGAUGACGUCAAGUCAGCAUGGCCCUUACGUCCUGGGCUACACACACGCUACAAUGGCCGG